This 282-nucleotide ribosomal RNA is filed under the name uncultured bacterium. RNAcentral's name for it is "partial 16S ribosomal RNA". It matches the Rfam family "Bacterial small subunit ribosomal RNA", at positions 333 to 607 of the family's 1533-position model. The record is from RNAcentral.
AUCGACCUACGGGAGGCAGCAGUAGGGAAUUUUCGUCAAUGGGCGCAAGCCUGAACGAGCAAUGCCGCGUGAACGAGGAAGGUCUUCGGAUCGUAAAGUUCUGUUGAAGGGGAAAAAGAGCGGAGAGAGGAAAUGGUCUCCGAUUGAUAUUACCCUUCGAGGAAGUCACGGCUAACUACGUGCCAGCAGCCGCGGUAAUACGUAGGUGGCGAGCGUAAUCAGGAAUGAUUGGGCGUAAAGGGUGCGUAGGCGGCCUGCUAAGUCUGGAGUGAAGGGUACCGG